UCUGAGAUGAGACGGAGCCGUGGUGG
Molecule: non-coding RNA, 26 nt
Filed under: Homo sapiens (human)
Lineage: Eukaryota; Metazoa; Chordata; Mammalia; Primates; Hominidae
Source: RNAcentral